RNA transcript from Lytechinus pictus (painted urchin), 2272 nucleotides. It is a transcript of the gene named cytochrome P450 2J4-like, with no coding region annotated. The record is from RefSeq and is a predicted model, not a curated record. NCBI's taxonomy places the organism in Eukaryota, Metazoa, Echinodermata, Echinoidea, Temnopleuroida, Toxopneustidae. The transcript is spliced from 9 exons.
GACGUCACGUCGGCCUAUUGACCAUCUGACCGAUGGACAUUCAUGCCUGAAGAAAAAAAGCUUUAUAAACGUCAAUAAUCGAAGGAUUAUCCGUCUUUCUUCAACCUAGCUCAGUAGACAUAUUAAUGUGGGGAUGUUGUUUCCAUAACUAGGUAAAAUACUCAACUGCAUAACCUAGCUCAUACCGACAUAACCGAGGGACUAUUGAAGUGCAACGUCAUCGCCUCUGUUAUUAAUUUACUCUGCGUUUAAGACACAUCAGUCGGAUGAUCAAGCACCCUAUAUCUUGUUCUGUUAACAAGCACUGUGUCAGUAAUAGGUUGACGCAAGUGAGUUAGACUCCGCUACGGCCAGAAGGGGGGGGGGGGGGGGGUUCGCGACAAUCCCUUAAAGUUUCAAAAUUAAUUACCACCCCCCCCCCCCCGUUUCAGGUGUAUAGACCUAUAGUCAUGGAUUGGAUAGCACAAGGUAAUACCAGACUGUGGCUGACAACAGCUGCUAUAGCAUUGGUGGUCAUGUGGUUUGUGAAGAGGAUCGUGUCUCGAACCAAGAACCUUCCACCAGGCCCUACAGGGAUACCCUUGCUUGGCGUAGCUUGGGAAAUGAUAAGGGCUAACCCCGACCCCCUCGGUCUCUACUCGUCUUGGGCUGACCAAUAUGGUGACGUGGUUUCCUUCAAGGUAGGACCUUUGACCUUCGUGCUUCUGAACUCCUACGAUGUCAUACUAGAGGCAUUCAACCAUCCCAACCUCAACAAUCGACCAAAGAGCCGCAUGGUAGAAGAGGUUCUUGGACUUGCCAAUAAUGGGAUCACACUUGCCAACGGUAAGGUCUGGGAGGAGCAGAGGAAGUUUACCCAUUCUGUUUUUCGUAGUCUGGGUGUUGGAAAAAAGAGCUAUGAGGAUACCGUAUCAGCUGAGAUGGACCAACUGAGGGGUGCUAUUGAGGAGAUGAAAGGAGCACCCUUCGAUCCUAACAUUCUCUUUGGACAAGCUGUAGCCAAUAUCGUCUGUUCCAUCGCAUUCGGGACGCAAUAUAAAUACACUAAUGCCGAAUUUAAACAGCUAUUGCGUCUAAUGAACAUCAACAUCGAGUUAUCGAGCGGAGGUGGGGCGCUACUCUUUCUCCCUCUACCCGGAAUAUCGAAGAUUCCUUUUGGAGCACCGAAGAAGAUGGUUGAGAACAUGAAGCAGGUCAACAGGUUUCUCCUGGAUCAGAUUGAAAGCCACGAGAAAUCUGUGGACCUGGAUCAUCCCAAAGAUUUCAUCGAUCUUUACCUUAAGAAGAUGGCCGAUACAAAGGACUCGGAGACCUCAUUCAACAAGAUGAACCUAAACUCGGCCGUAGGAGACCUCUUCUUCGCUGGCACCGAGACCACUACCACCACACUCAAAUGGUGCAUCCUCUACAUGAUGGCGUUCCCCGAGGUACAGUCACGUGUUCAGGAUGAACUUGAUCACGUGGUUGGAAGAGAGAGGCUUCCGGGGCUGGCCGAUUUGAAAGAUCUGCCUUUCACCAAUGCAGUUCUGUUGGAGGUACAGAGGAAGAGCGCCGUUGCCGCUCUGGGUGUGCCACACAUAGCUGCUGCUGACACGACCUUCAGAGGCUACACCAUACCAAAGGGCGCCACCAUUCUGUCCAACAUCUGGAAGGUGCUGAACAGGAAGGAUCGGUGGCAGGAUCCGGAAAAGUUUAACCCUGACAGAUUUCUGACAGAGGAUGGCAAGCUGACUCGGAGAGAAGAAUUGAUAUUUUUCAGUACCGGUCGUCGUGUGUGCCCGGGAGAACAACUAGCCCGGAUGGAAACAUUUCUUGGUUUUACAAGUCUCCUUCAUCGAUUCACCUUCACGAAACCUGAUAAUACACCGGCAUUAUCUUUCGAAGGAGUCUUAGGAAUCACCAGGAAUACCAAACCUUUUAUGACAUGUGCACUCUGUAGGGACUGACAUAGUCGUGAUUACAAAUCAAACUAACAAAUUAUAACAUUAACUUAAUGAUAACUAGACAUUUGAACUGGGCCGAUGCUGUCGGCAAUGUAUAUAAAGCCAAGUGCGGAUCUGGGUUGACGGGUGGGUGGGGGCUGGUUAUUCUGUUUAGAGGGAGAAAGUAGGGGCAUGCGAGCCCAUUUGUAAAUCGGCGUUCUGCCCUGGUAUUUAAAACAAUAUCAAAGAUUUUAAGUGGUCUAGUGAUAAUAUUUAGGAUUUUCUCAACUUUUUAUAGAAUUUUGUUAUUGAUAUAUUACUAAUGAUAUAAAUUCCAUUCAAAAAAUGUA